GUGUGUGGGCAAAUUGGAAGAGGAGGCCAGGGGGUGCAGACCGGUGGCAGAGGUUGGGGAGCAUUCGCCCUCGAUGCCCGAGUCCCAUUCCUAGGGAUCCCCAGUGUUGUUCUUUCUUGGCCAGGGCCAGGGUGGCAGGAGGGUAAGGGUCUUGGUAGGGGCUGCCCGGCCUCAGGAUCGCUGCAGGGAGUGAGGGAGGGAGGAAGCGAGGGGAAGCGGGUCCGGGACCGGAGGGCGGCGCUCGAGGGAAACUGGGCAGCCCCGGGCUUUGGGGUCCUCCGCGCCUCGCCCACCUCUCUCGUGCAGGCUCUGCUCCGGGCCGGAGCUUCGGGCCACAAGGGUGCGUCGGGCCUGCGCUGUCCCCGCCGCGGCCCUCCCCGCCCCGCCGCCCUUCCCGGCGGCGCGGCCGCCCGAGCCCCCUCCCUUGCAGCGCGCUGCGCGCUCCGCCAGGGCCGCCGCCGCCGCCGCGUGCUCCUGCUGUCUCUUCGCUCCAGCCGAGCGAGCCAGAGGAGCCGGCGAGAGGGAGAGAGAAAGGGGGAGGAGAGAGGCGAGAGAAAGAGAGAGAGAGAGGGCGGCAGCGAGGCAAGAGCGAGCGCCGAGCCUCCUAGGACAGCGGCCCCUCCGCGGUCCCAGCCGCUCGCGUGGUCGGAGGAGACGCGGUCGCCGCCGCCUCCUGAGCCCGGCCCCGCGAUCUCCUCGCCGCCGGCUCGCCGGUGCCCGCGCGGCCCCGGGACGCCGCUGCCCGCUCGGCGGCCGGGAUGCAGCCGGGGCAUGGCCGCCGGGCCCCUGUCACCUGCCGCGGGGAGCGCUGAGCCCAUUGGAAAGCUGCCUCUGAGACUCUGAAGGUUUUCCUGCUGAUACUCGCUCCUUCCCAGUAACCCUCCAUCCCAAGGGGAGCCCCAGAAAGAACACCAGGGGGGCCUCCCUGCUGCCACAGAACCACCUCACCCGCCACUCCAGGUAAGGCCGCGCCUGCCCGCCACCACACCUGUCCUCAGAGUUUGCAUUUGUGAUGGAAAAACAUCUUAAUGAGGAGAUUUUAUUUUACAUGAGGGAACGACAGGGACGUUCUUUUGCUGGCUCUAGUUUGCAGAUUGUGGGGUCUUCUGUGUCUUCAGGGAGAAGGACAGGGAGAAUCGCAGAACCGCAGGAAUGCCUUGGGUGGGAUUUUGUAAGAAGUGGCUACUGAAAUCUGUCAGCCUGGCGGGAGUGGUUAUUCCAGGAAGGAGGGUGGACAGGGCGCUCAGUUCACUGUCUAGUGUCAGCACGAAAUGCCACGGUGGCCAAGGUGGGGGUCUGACCCUCCCUUGCAUGGCUCCGUGCACUUUCCCCUGUGGCCCAGGGAUGGGAUCUGAUGCCUUCAUCUGGCUCUAGAGGGAACUCAUGAUUGCCGCACUCCCUCCCCCAGUGGCUGGACUGUACUUCAACCCUGGCACUCGCCGCCUAGAGUUAUUGGCAGGCCUCACAGGCUUAGGGCCUGUCCCCUGCAAGACUGCCCCACUUUUAGCUGCAGAUCUCAAGGACGUUUGCACUCCUGACCAAGUGGUUGCAAAUUCACAGGUUCCCACAACUGCCUCAGUUUUGAUAAUUUGCUAGUACAACUUGCAGUACUCAAAGUGCUGUGCUUUCCAUGAAUCUUGGGAAGAUAAUUCUUGCUGCCUCCGUGAAGGAGGUUGCAGGGCCCAGCUGCCUCGCCUUUCUGUGGGUUUGAGAACCAGUAUUCUCCUAAAACAGUAAGUGUUUGGUGUUGUGGAAGUUGA
This 1760-nucleotide long non-coding RNA is filed under the name Bos grunniens (domestic yak). RNAcentral's name for it is "lncRNA (ENSBGRG00000020124.1)". The record is from RNAcentral. Lineage: Eukaryota; Metazoa; Chordata; Mammalia; Artiodactyla; Bovidae.